GUCCCGCUACAGUGUCUCGGGCCUACCAACAGCAAUACAUCCACCACCAUGACAACACCUGAAUUGCAGACUCUCCAAAAAACGACGCCUCCAUGAAGGGAACAGUGCUCCAACACCGUCGUCGCCCGAUCAAAGAUCUUAGGUUUUCACCCUGAAGAUAGUCCCCACUCUCAAAACAAUGCCUCCACCAAGGUCACUGCCAGGCACAACCAGUUAAGGCCAGACCUUGGGUUUUCACCCUGAAAGGUAGGACUCUGCGCUUCACAUGUGUUGUCGCCCCCACUUUCAUACCGCUGCUGUGAAGCCCAGACACCAAGCAAGCCCCUAAACAGCGCGGAGACUUGAACCUCCCUUAGCUAGUCCUCCC
This is a non-coding RNA of Lolium perenne, 367 nucleotides long. The record is from RefSeq and is a predicted model, not a curated record. NCBI's taxonomy places the organism in Eukaryota, Viridiplantae, Streptophyta, Magnoliopsida, Poales, Poaceae.